RNAcentral lists this ribosomal RNA (252 nucleotides) under uncultured bacterium. RNAcentral describes it as "partial 16S ribosomal RNA". It matches the Rfam family "Bacterial small subunit ribosomal RNA", at positions 524 to 776 of the family's 1533-position model. The record is from RNAcentral.
UACGGGGGGAGCAAGCGUUGUUCGGAUUUACUGGCGUAAAGGGCGCGUAGGCGGUCAGCACAAGUCAGUUGUGAAAUCUCCGGGCUUAACUCGGAAAGGUCAACUGAUACUGUGCGACUAGAGUGCGGAAGGGGCAACUGGAAUUCUCGGUGUAGCGGUGAAAUGCGUAGAUAUCGAGAGGAACACCUGCGGCGAAGGCGGGUUGCUGGCCGACACUGACGCUGAUGCGCGAAAGCCAGGGGAGCGAACGGG